GACCGAGCAACGCCGCGUGAGUGAAGAAGGUUUUCGGAUCGUAAAGCUCUGUUGUAAGUCAAGAACGUGUGUGAGAGUGGAAAGUUCACACAGUGACGGUAGCUUACCAGAAAGGGACGGCUAACUACGUGCCAGCAGCCGCGGUAAUACGUAGGUCCCGAGCGUUGUCCGGAUUUAUUGGGCGUAAAGGGAGCGCAGGCGGUCAGGAAAGUCUGGAGUAAAAGGCUAUGGCUCAACCAUAGUGUGCUCUGGAAACUGUCUGACUUGAGUGCAGAAGGGGAGAGUGGAAUUCCAUGUGUAGCGGUGAAAUGCGUAGAUAUAUGGAGGAACACCAGUGGCGAAAGCGGCUCUCUGGUCUGUCACUGACGCUGAGGCUCGAAAGCGUGGGUAGCGAACAGGAUUAGAUACCCUGGUAGUCCACGCCGUAAACGAUGAGUGCUAGGUGUAGGCCCUUUCCGGGGCUUAGUGCCGGAGCUAACGCAAUAAGCACUCCGCCUGGGGAGUACGACCGCAAGGUUGAAACUCAAAGGAAUUGACGGGGGCCCGCACAAGCGGUGGAGCAUGUGGUUUAAUUCGAAGCACGCGAAGAACCUACCAGGUCUUGACAUCC
RNAcentral lists this ribosomal RNA (610 nucleotides) under Streptococcus mutans. Its description in RNAcentral is "bacterial SSU rRNA". It matches the Rfam family "Bacterial small subunit ribosomal RNA", at positions 385 to 989 of the family's 1533-position model. Lineage: Bacteria; Bacillati; Bacillota; Bacilli; Lactobacillales; Streptococcaceae. The record is from RNAcentral.